UACCAGCACCCCGAGUGGUCGGGACGAUUAUUGGGCCUAAAGCAUCCGUAGCCGGUUCUACAAGUCCUCCGUUAAAUCCACCCGCUUAACGGAUGGGCUGCGGGGGAUACUGCAGAGCUAGGAGGCGGGAGAGGCAAACGGUACUCAGUGGGUAGGGGUAAAAUCCAUUGAUCUACUGAAGACCACCAGUGGCGAAGGCGGUUUGCCAGAACGCGCUCGACGGUGAGGGAUGAAAGCUGGGGGAGCAAACCGG
This 253-nucleotide ribosomal RNA is filed under the name uncultured bacterium. Its description in RNAcentral is "partial 16S ribosomal RNA". It matches the Rfam family "Archaeal small subunit ribosomal RNA", at positions 474 to 727 of the family's 1478-position model. The record is from RNAcentral.